RNAcentral lists this ribosomal RNA (586 nucleotides) under uncultured bacterium. Its description in RNAcentral is "bacterial SSU rRNA". It matches the Rfam family "Bacterial small subunit ribosomal RNA", at positions 338 to 916 of the family's 1533-position model. The record is from RNAcentral.
CCUACGGGAGGCAGCAGUGGGGAAUAUUGGACAAUGGGGGCAACCCUGAUCCAGCCAUGCCGCGUGUGUGAAGAAGGCCCUCGGGUUGUAAAGCACUUUCAGCGAGGAAGAACGCCUAGCGGUUAAUACCCGCUAGGAAAGACAUCACUCGCAGAAGAAGCACCGGCUAACUCCGUGCCAGCAGCCGCGGUAAUACGGAGGGUGCAAGCGUUAAUCGGAAUUACUGGGCGUAAAGCGCGCGUAGGUGGCUUGAUAAGCCGGUUGUGAAAGCCCCGGGCUCAACCUGGGAACGGCAUCCGGAACUGUCAAGCUAGAGUGCAGGAGAGGAAGGUAGAAUUCCCGGUGUAGCGGUGAAAUGCGUAGAGAUCGGGAGGAAUACCAGUGGCGAAGGCGGCCUUCUGGACUGACACUGACACUGAGGUGCGAAAGCGUGGGUAGCAAACAGGAUUAGAUACCCUGGUAGUCCACGCCGUAAACGAUGUCGACCAGCCGUUGGGUGCCUAGCGCACUUUGUGGCGAAGUUAACGCGAUAAGUCGACCGCCUGGGGAGUACGGCCGCAAGGUUAAAACUCAAAUGAAUUGACGG